AGUGAACGCUGGCGGUAGGCCUAACACAUGCAAGUCGAACGGCAGCACAGUAAGAGCUUGCUCUUACGGGUGGCGAGUGGCGGACGGGUGAGGAAUACAUCGGAAUCUACUUUUUCGUGGGGGAUAACGUAGGGAAACUUACGCUCAUACCGCAUACGACCUACGGGUGAAAGCAGGGGAUCUUCGGACCUUGCGCGAUUGAAUGAGCCGAUGUCGGAUUAGCUAGUUGGCGGGGUAAAGGCCCACCAAGGCGACGAUCCGUAGCUGGUCUGAGAGGAUGAUCAGCCACACUGGAACUGAGACACGGUCCAGGCUCCUACGGGAGGCAGCAGUGGCGAAUAUUGGACAAUGGGCGCAAGCCUGAUCCAGCCAUACCGCGUGGGUGAAGAAGGCCUUCGGGUUGUAAAGCCCUUUUGUUGGGAAAGAAAAGCAGCAGGUUAAUACCCCGCUGUUCUGACGGUACCCAAAGAAUAAGCACCGGCUAACUUCGUG
Molecule: ribosomal RNA, 492 nt
Filed under: uncultured bacterium
Lineage: Bacteria
Description: partial 16S ribosomal RNA
Rfam family: Bacterial small subunit ribosomal RNA
Source: RNAcentral